Molecule: non-coding RNA, 29 nt
Filed under: Mus musculus (house mouse)
Lineage: Eukaryota; Metazoa; Chordata; Mammalia; Rodentia; Muridae
Source: RNAcentral
UCAUUAUCUGGAGGUAUACACACAUGAGC